CCUACGGGAGGCAGCAGUGAGGAAUAUUGGUCAAUGGACGCAAGUCUGAACCAGCCAAGCCGCGUGAAGGAGGACGGCGCUGUGAGUUGUAGACUUCUUUUGUACGGGGAUAAAAGGAGGUACGCGUAUCUUUCUGAGAGUAUCCUACGAAUAAGGAUCGGCUAAUUCCGUGCCAGCAGCCGCGGUAAUACGGAGGAUCCGGGCGUUAUCCGGAUUUAUUGGGUUUAAAGGGAGCGUAGGCCGGCUGUCAAGCGUGCUGUGAAAUGUCCGGGGUCAACCCGGGCCUUGCAGUGGGAACUGGCGGGCUUGAGUGCGCGGAAGGCAGGCGGAAUGCGUGGUGUAGCGGUGAAAUGCUUAGAUAUGACGAAGAACCCCGAGUGCGAAGGCAGCUUGCUGCACCGGAACUGACGCUGAGGCUCGAAAGCGCGGGUAUCGAACAGGAUUAGAUACCCUGGUAGUC
This 460-nucleotide ribosomal RNA is filed under the name uncultured bacterium. RNAcentral's name for it is "partial 16S ribosomal RNA". It matches the Rfam family "Bacterial small subunit ribosomal RNA", at positions 338 to 795 of the family's 1533-position model. The record is from RNAcentral.